This 814-nucleotide ribosomal RNA is filed under the name Fuscoporia atlantica. RNAcentral's name for it is "partial large subunit ribosomal RNA". It matches the Rfam family "Eukaryotic large subunit ribosomal RNA", at positions 104 to 899 of the family's 3401-position model. The record is from RNAcentral. Lineage: Eukaryota; Fungi; Basidiomycota; Agaricomycetes; Hymenochaetales; Hymenochaetaceae.
AAAGCUCAAAUUUAAAAUCUGGNGGUUCUGCCGUCCGAGUUGUAAUCUGGAGAAGCGUUUUCUGUGCUGGACCGUGUACAAGUCUCUUGGAAGAGAGCGUCAUAGAGGGUGAGAAUCCCGUCCAUGACACGGACACCCAGUGCUAUGUGAUACGUUUUCAAAGAGUCGAGUUGUUUGGGAAUGCAGCUCAAAAUGGGUGGUAAGCUCCAUCUAAAGCUAAAUAUUGGCGAGAGACCGAUAGCGAACAAGUACCGUGAGGGAAAGAUGAAAAGCACUUUGGAAAGAGAGUUAAACAGUACGUGAAAUUGUUGAAAGGGAAACGCUUGAAGUGAGUCGCGUCUUACUUGACUCAGCCUGGCCUCGGCUUGGUGUAUUUCAUGUAAGACGGGUCAACAUCGAUUUUGACCGGCAGAGAAGGGGUGUAAGAAUGUGGCACUCUUCGGGGUGUGUUAUAGCUUAUGCUCAUAUGUGUCGGUGGGGAUCGAGGACCGCAGCGCGCCCUUGUGGCCGGAGGUUCGCCUCACGUUACGCGCUUAGGAUGUUGGCAUAAUGGCUUUAAGCGACCCGUCUUGAAACACGGACCAAGGAGUCUAACAUGCUCGCGAGUGUUAGGGUGGAAAACCCUUGCGCGGAAUGAAAGUAAAAGUUGGGAACCUCCGCAAGGGGGCGCACCGACGCCCGGCCCAGAAGUUUACGGACGGUGCUGCGGUAGAGCGCGUAUGUUGGGACCCGAAAGAUGGUGAACUAUGCCUGAAUAGGGCGAAGCCAGGGGAAACCCUGUGUGGAGGCUCGUAGCGAUUCUGACGUGCAAAUC